CCUACGGGUGGCAGCAGUGAGGAAUAUUGGUCAAUGGUCGGGAGACUGAACCAGCCAAGCCGCGUGAGGGAUGAAGGUACAGAGUAUCGUAAACCUCUUUUGUCAGGGAACAAAGGCGGGGACGUGUCCCCGGAUGAGUGUACCUGAAGAAAAAGCAUCGGCUAACUCCGUGCCAGCAGCCGCGGUAAUACGGAGGAUUCGAGCGUUAUCCGGAUUUAUUGGGUUUAAAGGGUGCGUAGGCUGUCGGAUAAGUUAGAGGUCAAAUGUCGGGGCUUAACACCUUGCCUGCCUCUGAUACUGUUAGUCUAGAGAGCGAGUGAAGCAGGCGGAAUGAGUGGUGUAGCGGUGAAAUGCUUAGAUAU
This 362-nucleotide ribosomal RNA is filed under the name uncultured bacterium. RNAcentral describes it as "partial 16S ribosomal RNA". It matches the Rfam family "Bacterial small subunit ribosomal RNA", at positions 338 to 697 of the family's 1533-position model. The record is from RNAcentral.